UCUUGAAUAUCUGGAAGUU
This 19-nucleotide small nuclear RNA is filed under the name Arabidopsis thaliana (thale cress). RNAcentral's name for it is "snRNA_15743". Lineage: Eukaryota; Viridiplantae; Streptophyta; Magnoliopsida; Brassicales; Brassicaceae. The record is from RNAcentral.